GAGCAUUUGGAUUAUACUUUUGUUUUUGCCUUGGAUUGUAAAUAUUGUAAAUAAACUGUUUUUUUGUACUCUACUUUCACCUCACUCCUCUGCACUUGAGUCAUUCCCCUGGUGGCCUAGUGGGGGUUUGCUGGAUCAUUACACCAGCGACCCGGGUUCGAUUUCCAGCAAAACCCUAACAACUGCAGCAAUUGCAGCCUGCCCGAGGCCCAAGACCAAGAGGGGGGGGCAUUUCCUGGGGCUGGCUGGCUACUAUCGUAGGUUCAUACUUAACUAUUUGGACAUCACCAACCCGCUAACUGAUCUCACUAAAAAGGGAGCACCAGAUCCGGUCCAGUGGACCGGACAGUGCCAACAGGCUUUCACUAAGGUAAAAGCUGCACACAAGGCUACACACAAAGCAGUAUAUCGCGCUACCAAACUUCCACAACCAAAUCCCAGAUGAGCCCCCAAUUUCAUGUUAUGACCCAGACGUGGGCCUCAAACAUGAACGGAGUCAAACACCAAAAUGAAGUUAACAAAAUAAAUGUAUUUGCAUCAGGGAAAAAAAAAAGAUAUGUCUAGGGAAUCUGGGCUUCUGGUAGUGAAUGUAAUGAAUGAGUGGAAAGCCAGCAGGGAUCAGAGUGAGAGUCAAAAAAUGAUUGUGGUGUAGCAAGGGAAUGUAUAAAAGAUACAAUGAGUGCCUGUAUGUCAUGGAGGAAAGAGAAUGUGAGUGUUAGGCUCUAAGUGUAAGGGCAGAGCCAAGUGUCUUAGGGGCAAGCUGUUCCCGGCUUUUAAAGCCAGCUGCCACAUGUGACUAAUUCCAAUCAACCACUCUGCUAUUCCCGCCAGCCAAGACUCAGUGGUAGCCCAGACUGACAGAGAUGCAGAGGGUCGUCACAACACAAAUGACACAAUUCAGCACUUUACUUCUUUAGACACACAAACAACACAAUUCAGCAUUUUAUCUCUUUAGACACACAAACAACAGAAUUUAGUGCUUUAUCUCUUUAGACAAGACAUCUCCUGCCCAUGCAGACCUUUUAAGCACAGGAUAGCAUUUCACAGGUACCUCAUGCUAAAUUCAGGCUAAAAACAGUGUACCCAGGAAACCGACAUCUGCAAGUACUGACCUUUUAGGUACAAAGAAGAAUUUCCACUAAGCUAAAUCUGGCAUUAAAAGCGGUAUCGCAGGAACAUAAAACUGCAGUACUCUUCUUCUCUCAACCCGAUCUCUUAACGUGACCCGCUAAUCUUCAAUCUCUUCUAGGACGGGAUUUAAUGUGCGAUCUGUCUUCCUUCGAGGCUUUUCCUCAUAAGCAACAACAACGUUUCUGCAACUCCUUGUUAGGACCAGAGAUUAUCAGGGAAAUUCAGCCAGUGAAACAUAACACAUAUCAUAACAACUGCAAAAAACAACACCGUGCCAAUUUCCCUUUCGAUCUCAAAAUUACUGUUUAAAAAAAUGUUUCCACUUUUACUAAGUUGUUCAAAUUUAGUCCUCUUACCGCCACACUUGGAGCCAAAACCAUAACUGCACAAACUUCAUGAACCAAAUUAGUAGCAAAAAAUUGCUCACCUUUGCUUUGUUGCAGCCACUGUUUGUGCAGUGCAGUUCAGACACCCAAGUGCAGUCAGGUGAGAGGCUUCUUUCCAAAUCACUUCUGGGUCACCGAAUUAUGUCAUGGAAACACUCUGACUCUCCAAGCAAAAAAAAAAGAUUCAAAGUCCAAGUUGCAGAAAGGUUUAGACUUUUAUUCAACCAGUAAAAGCCGAGUUCGGUCUGCAGAGUGAACCGACUCAAAAAUUACAAAGUUAUCAUUUUAUACUGUCUCAAAGAAAAAUACAGUGUACACAAAUAAUUUCAUUGGUUCACAUUUCAUGUCAUUCUUCUUUAACGUUUUUCUAUUGGGCAGUAUAUCUUAUACCUCUCAUACUUUGUAAGAACUGAGCCAAAUUUCCCAGUAUGAAUGGCCAAUUUAGAAAGAAUCAAAACAUACGAUAACACUGCAUUCAAAGUGUACAAUACUUGGAUUCAGUCUGGCUGAGAUCAUCAGGUCUAAGGCUACAAACAACCUGCAGGUGCGGGCUGACUCCUCUUUUUUGCCCUUGGACACUCUACUACACCAUAAGAUUUAAGAAGUCCACUCUGUAGCCUGGGAAACUUCCCAAUUUAGAGCAGCUUGUUAUAAUGUGUGACAUCACCUGCAAGGCACUUUAGAAUGAGCAACUGCUUAAUUCAACAUGAUCUCAGGCUAAAGAGCCAAAACAUAAGAUAAUCAGCCAAGCAUUGAGGUCAGAAUGACACACUGUGUAAAUUAGGCCUGUGGUUUAACAGAAACCAACCUUUCAGCAUAAGACAAUCUCAAUGUCUCUGCUGGAUUUUACUGUAAUUAUGAUCACUCAAACCAAUUUGUUAUUACUUUUCAAUAGAAUUGACCCCAUUUAUUCUUUACUGAAAAUCAAUAUAUUCAGCUUUGGAUUAGUAUAUAAUCAGCAUAAAAAGAAAUGGUUACAUCAUUCAGGAUACACUUGUGAUUACUUAAGGUGUGUGUUUAUAUAUGUGGUUACAUAAUUCAGGAUACACUUGUGAUUACUGAAGGUGUGUGUUUGUUCGUGACUACAUAUGUGCAUAUAAAAUCAUUUCCAAAGGAAAGUGGUGGCCCAAAGCCACUUAAAUGUUAAAGGUCAACUAAGUUAAAAAAACAAAAUUCCACAGUGAUCCAAAUGUGUUUUCAUGUAACCAGAUAGAUACCUUACAUUUCUGAGCGUGAUUUUGUGAAUGUGCACUAAUUGCUGGAAAGCGGUAUUUCAUCUGUUUUUCAGGACCCAAAGCUCCACCCUUCAAAAAAUAAACUUACGAGCACGAGAUAGGUCACGCGACCUCGUGACGUAUGUUUCAGAAUAACACAGUGGCAUAGUCGUUGCACCUGGACUGAAGUGCGGAAAGUAAUUUGAGUUGAUUUAGUUACUUACAAAGACUGAGUCCAGAGUUUUCGCCUACAGUCCCCAGCCAUGCCUACUCGGUGUAUAAUCGCAGGUUGUGGCAAUACAUAUAAAGACGGGGUAAGCUUUCAUCGCUUCCCCAAAGAUGAGACCAUCAAAAAAUUUGCGCCAAAAAUGAAGUCGUACAGAUAUCAUGGCAUCCUCAGCAGGUAAGUUCAUACCUCUCGCUAAUCUUGAUAACUCAGAAUGUUGCUGUUUUCAUGCUGAUAAUAGAUAACAUCACAUUCAGUAUCAAUAUUAACAGCAUCAAAAAAAAAAUUGUUUCUUUCCUAUCAUUUCUAUCUCAGGAUUCAUUUGGCAGCACUACACUACAACGCAAACAGUGACAGAGAGCAGGCAAGGACAAGUAAAGGGGACCUACGCUAUAGUAUUUGAAAACCAAAGUACAAGCCAGGAAGUGCUUCAGCUAAGCCAGUCAAAGAACCAUGCAACUACUCCUAUGUUGAGGAACUCAUGGCUGAUGUAUCGGAGCAAGACUUUGACACUUCACCACCAGAGAGGCAGCCAUCACCACCACCUUUGAGUAGCGGCCAUGUGUACCCCCCCAAAGAGGAGAUAAUCCGAUGCCAUCACAGCUGAUUUUCCAAAAAAUGAUUGUAUUGUGCUGUAUGUACACAUCAGAGAAACUUUUGGUGGGCAAAUGUGUGUCAUCUUGUGCCUUUUUGGGUCUUUGAAAACUUUUUCAGUUCUGUUUCAACACCAUACAUAUUUAUUAUUAUUAUUUUUUUUUUUUUUUGUUAUCAUUGCUGAGGUUAUUUCAAGCAAGUGUUAGUGUUGAUUAUGGACAUAUAAUGUAUCCACACUGGAUUGGGAAGGAAUGCUGUGUGAAUCCUUUUCCCAGGUCUUUGGACCUCUGGUUUGUCUUUGUUAUAGGGUUAACAAAUGCAUUAGAACAAAUAAAUCUGAUUCAAGUA
Neoarius graeffei (lesser salmon catfish) is the source of this 3899-nucleotide long non-coding RNA. RefSeq lists it as uncharacterized. The record is from RefSeq and is a predicted model, not a curated record. The transcript is spliced from 2 exons. NCBI's taxonomy places the organism in Eukaryota, Metazoa, Chordata, Actinopteri, Siluriformes, Ariidae.